Molecule: non-coding RNA, 2520 nt
Organism: Equus caballus (horse)
Lineage: Eukaryota; Metazoa; Chordata; Mammalia; Perissodactyla; Equidae
Source: RefSeq, a predicted model, not a curated record
UCCCAUACACCUGGUGACUAGGAAGUAGAUUCUAGUCUGAUCCCCAUUGUGCAGGUUGGGAGACUGGGGAGGCCCUGAGAGGCACAGAGUUUUCCAGGACAGAGAACUGGUAAGGAGGUGUGAACUCAGCUCUGUCUCCUCGAAGCUAGGACCCUAGUUCCAUUUCCAGGGAGCUGUGGCUAGGGCUGUGCUGGCUCAUUGUGUAGUUAAGAAGAGGACAUGGGGAGGAGGGUGAGCAGUAACAGCUUGUGGUGGGGAGGAGGUGGCUUUGGGUAAGUAUGUUUGAAGGAAGGGGACCAGGUAACAGAAUCUUCAAAAAUUGACGUCACUUCCUGGUGAUAGGCCCCAACAGAACUUAGAACUCUGGUCACCAGGUACCCAGAGCCCCCUAUCCAACUCAUUUGGCCAGAGACAUUCCAGAGAACAAGGUAUUCUGCUGUUGUGUCCAGACUUUCAGAGGCUCUGGGCUGAAGAAAGCCCAGAGUGAGAGGUUUUUCUAUUGCUGUAGAUGUGGGCUCAGCCCUCAUCCCUGAUGCCACUGGCCAUUUGGCAGGAGGUACCCAAAGAACUCCACUCAGGAGAUCAUCGAGAAGCUGGCCAAUGGGUUCAAUUACUCCAACUCCCUGGACAAGUGGCAGGUGCCCCAGGCCACCAACCUCAUCCAGUGAUUGUCUGAGGUGAGAACGGGUGCAGAGUGGUCUCCACACCCAAGAACCUGAGAUGAUCAUGUUGGGCCCAGAACUCAGAGUCAAAUCUAGGGGCUCCCCUGGGGCCCUCCCAGGCUUUUCCACAUGAGUGUCCCACAGGCAUGCUCCCAAAGGAAUCUGGACCUCCACAUGUAACCCACCCACUAUGUGGCAGGGUAGAAAUACACUCUUCACAUAUUUGUUGGAAUAAUAGAGAAAAUAUUCAACGUUGUUUUCCCUUUUCAGGAGGCCAUGAGUACGUUAGCCUUUGGCUACUGUUUUACUGUUCUGAUGACCCGCCCCAGGUAUCCUGUGGAGCAGUCAGCUCCACUCUCUUUGAAGACCUUCUCCCAGGCUUACGAACCAUUGAACUUGAUAGGGUGGUUUAUGCACAGAGUGGGGGCGGGAUUGAUUCUAUACAGUUCUCUGCAACUUGUCAUCUUACAGUAAACAUCAAAUCUUUGCUGGCCUGUCAUGUCAGGAGCUGUGGCCUCAUGUGACUUCAUAAUAUCCCAUAAAGGAAGUCAAUUGCCACCACCAUUCAGCCUUUCAAUUGUUGUUAGACCUUGGCAUGAUUCAAUUCUGUUGCCAUUUCAGCAAUGCUACAGGGAACAUCUUAAGCGUGUCCUAAUAGAUUGUAUUAGUUUGCCAGGUCUGCCAUAACAUAGGGCCACUUCCACUGUGGAAGGCUCCUGAUGCCUUCUGGCUCAGUGACAAGCCCUGUCUUUAUAGAGCUCCACCCAGGAUGUCCUGGAGGAGCUGGUCGAUGGGUUCAACUAUUCCAUCUUCCCGGACAACGGGCAGGUGCAUCAGGUGACCUAAAACAGGCAACACUGGUCUGGGGUAAGUGUGGGCACAUAGGGGUCUCCACAUUCAGGACCCCAAGAUGACUGGGGUGGACCCAGAACCCAGACUGGAAUCUGGUGACUCCCCUGGGGUCCUCCCAGGAAUAUGGUUUUCCCAGAGCCUUCCCCUUCGUGUCAGGAACAGGCCAAGGUAAUUGAGAGGGAAUGUCAUGAAGCCAAUGCUACGUGCUAUUCUCAGAUCUGACCUGUGUGAUCUUCAGCAGCCACUUGAAAUCCUUAACCAUCUGUUUCCCAAUAUCUACAGUGGGGAAGUUUGUUGAUGACUCAUUGGGAUAAUGCUCUUAACACAGGCUGUUAAUACAGGGAGGUGCCAUUGUUUCUCAGCUGACAAAAUGCCUUGAAGUUAUAUCAUUCACUCCAAAAUCAAAUGAUACCUUUAAAGCCUAGAAUCUUUAUCUGUGUGGGCAUUCAUAUCCCUCCUCUUGCCCAAGUUCCUGGGGUGGUGGGAGUUUCCAGUCUGAGCUCCAGACACUAAUCCUCCUCAUGGCUCAUGGUGAUGCCACUGACUCCAUAUCCCACCUUGUCCCCUUGAUGUGAAAAGGAGUCGGUCAUGUCCCAAGGUGAGGCCUGCAUGAUGCUGACCCCCAAGGCAGGCACAAUGGAGAAGGUGGCAGAGUCUCUGGUACCAGCCUUCCUGGAUAGAAACAUCUCCUACAUCACCACCUUCCCACGUGUGUAUCUGGCCUUCGCCACCACCCAACAGGUCCUGGACAAGCUGUUCCAUAGCCGUGGGGCACAACCUGAAGACCUUCACACUCAACUUCACCAUUUCCACUCUCCAGUAUUCAACAGACAUGAGCAAGGUCUCAGUCACAUUCAACUCCAACGAGAAAGUCCAGUAGCACCUGAAGAGACCGGUCCCAACAGCUCCUGGUGGAAUGAGUCCCAGCCAGCUGCUCCCCACACUCUGUUCCUCCUGCUUGUCCUCCUCCUCCUUCCUCCCCAGCUUGGAUCCUUGUUCAAGAAGA